CUCACAUCCUUCUUUGAGGUUUUCUUUCUUUUUUUCCUUACACUUUUUUCUUUGAUUGUUUCUUUUUUUUAUUUGUUUUAAUGACUACUGUUCAGGGCAUAACUGAAACUAGUAACAGUCAAAAUGUGCCAAAGAACUUAAGUCUUGAUUUAUGAAGUAAUCAUUGGAAAAAUCAUUGACUUAUCAUAAAGGAUUUAGAUUAGUGCUGCUCAAGGGAACAUUCUGAGGCUGGGGUCAUGCUCUAUGUCUGCAUUGUCCAUUAUGGUAGUUAUUAGCUACAUGUGGCUAGUGAAUAUUUGAAAUGGGGCACAUGUAACAAAGAAACUGGAUGUUUAUAUUUUAUUAGUUUAAACUUUAUGUGGUGUUCAUAUAUAUGUUCAUAUUGUGUGAAUAUCCUAUAAUGAAUCCUGCUUAUAUAUAAUUAAUAUAUUUAUUUUAAAAGUAAGAAUAAUAGUAAUGAUAAUAGCAAUAGAAAAGAGAUCAGUAGAGAAGAGCAAGCAGAUCAUGGAGAGAGAGUUAAGAGGCAUAAGGAAGGCAGUGGGGAAUGACAUUGAUCAAAUUAUGUUGUAUGCACACACAGAUGUGGCAUAACAAAGCCCAAUAUAAGUACAAUGAACCAAUAAAAAAUUAAGUAGUUACUUGUUACUGAUAACAUCCAUAUUAGACAGAAAAUAUUUAGACCAAUAAGGGAGAAAUUUUGCCACAUUUACAAAAUAUAUGCAGACAUAGCAGUCUGUGAAAGUCAUAUAAAUGCAGGGGCAUAUGGAAUGAGAUUAAAUACUAAUGAUCAUACAAUAUAAUUGUAACAUGGAACAAAUCUUAUAAAGACCAAAAGAGUUAUGCCUUAAUCUUUUUGAUUCAAAUAACAUUUAUUGUUUGGUUUUAGUGAGGAAAAUUAUUAAUUUAAUAACUACUAGAACCAUUUUCAAAAUAAUUAUUAUCACUUAUUAAUUGUGCAAAUUAAUGGAUUUUUACUGCAACAUUUACAAACUGAAAAUAUCAUGCCUUGGUCACAUCUACCCUGCCUUCUGCCAUCUCUUUCCCUAUUUCUUUCCCUUCUUUAUCUGAUAUCCUUUCCUGUCCCUUAAAGUCUCUUCACUUGCAAGUCAUUUUAAUUUUUUUUUAAUUUUCAUAUAUGGGAGAACUUGUACAACUUGUUUUUUUCUGUGUCUUAUUUCUCUUAACAUGAUGUCUUUCACUUGGAAUAACUUUCCUCCAAGUAAUAUGAUUUUAUUUUUCUUUGUUGAUGAAUAAUAUUCUACUGCAUACAUACAAAAUAUUUUCUUUAUUCAAUUAUCUCUUAAUAGGCACAUGGGCUGAUUUCAUAUCUAACCUAUUGUCAACAAAGCCACCAUAAACAUUUAUAUGCAGGUAUCUCUUUUCUAUGCUUUUUUUUUUUUUGGUUGUAUACUCAAGAAUGGGACAUCUGGGUAAUAUGUGAGUUUUCUGUUGGAAUUUGGUAUGUUUCCCCAAAGCUCUUAAGUUGAAAACUUUGUCCUAGGGGCAGCAUUGUUCAGAGGUAGACCUUUUGGAGAGUGAUUGGAUCAUGAAAGCUGUAACCUUAUCACUGGAGUAAUCAAUUGGAUGGGUUAAUUGUUUAACUACUGGGAGGGGAUAGAAACUGUAUACAGGUAUAUGGAGGAAGGAAGUCACUGUAGGUUGUUCUUUUGCUGUUGCAUAAAUUUUAAUUUAAUGUAAUCUUCUGUCAAUUUUUCCUCAUUUCCUGAAUUUUGGAAGCCAUACUCAUGAAAUCACUUACCAUACAAAUAUCCUGAAGUGUACUUUACUAUGUUUUCUUCUAAUAGUUGCUAAGAUUCAGGUCUUACUUUAAGGCCUUUCUCCAUUUUCGGUUGAUUUUUGUACAAGGUGCAUGAUUGGAUUCUGUUUCAAUCUUCUGUAUAUGGAUAUUCAGUUUUGCCAGAACCAUUUUGUGAGUAGGCUGUCUUUUAUCCAAUGUAUGUUUUAGAAUCUUUGUAGAGAACCUGUUGUAGAUGUUGGCUUAUUUCUGAGUUCGCUGUUUUGUUUCAUUGGUCUACAAUGCCAAUAACAUGCUGUUUUGUUACUAUGACUCUGUAGUAUGUUUUCAGACCAAGUACUGUAUGCCUCCAACAUUUCCCUUCCUGAUCAUGAUUUCUUUUUCUAUUUGGGAUAUUUUGUGCUUUUAUAAAAAAUAUAUUUUAUACUUAUUUGGAAUAAGUAAUUGGUAUGCUCAUGGAGAUUGCAUUUAAUUUAUACAUUUCUUUUAGUUAUUAAUUAAUAAUAAUUCUUCCAAUCUAAGAACAUGGGGGUCUUACCACCCUCUAUUGUCCUAUGUUUCUUUUUUCAGAGUUUUGUAGUUUUAUUGUAGAUUUAUUUCACCUCCUUGGUUAAGUAAAUUCCUAGCUAUUUUAAUUGUUUGAGACUAUUGUGUCUUGGAUUUCUUUGCUCACUUCCUACUCAGAGACUUCAUUUUUAUCCUGCUACUUUGCUGAGUUUAGUUAUCAGAUCAAGAGUCUUUUGGUGCAGUGUUUAAGGUUCUCAGUGUAUAGAAUCAUAUCAUCAACAAAAAGGAAUAAUUUGACUUCUUCAUUUACUAUUUGCAUAACUUCUAAUUUUUUCUUUUCCCUAAUUGCCUGGUUUAAAAUUCUUAGUACUAAUAUGAAUAAGAGUGUGGUAAGCUUGUUUUAUUCCUGAUCAGAGAGGAAAUGUGUUCUGUUUUCCUGCACUUGGUAUGAUGUUGGCUAUGGAUUUGUCAUGUGAGAUAUGAUUCCUGUAAAUCGAAUUUACUCAGUACUUUUAUUAUGAAAACUUGUAUUUUAUCAAAGGAUUUUUUCUGAAGUUUUUGAGAUGAUCAUGUGAUUUUUAUCCAUAAUUCUAUUUGUGUACAGUAUUACAUUUAUAGAUUUGUGUUGAUUAAGAUAUACUUGAAUCCCUGAAAUGAAACCAACAUGAUCAUGGUGAUGUUGAAUUUGAUUUUCAAGUAUUUUA
RNAcentral lists this long non-coding RNA (2967 nucleotides) under Marmota monax (woodchuck). The record is from RNAcentral. Lineage: Eukaryota; Metazoa; Chordata; Mammalia; Rodentia; Sciuridae.